This is a long non-coding RNA of Ostrea edulis (European flat oyster), 5128 nucleotides long. RefSeq lists it as uncharacterized. The transcript has 3 exons. The record is from RefSeq and is a predicted model, not a curated record. NCBI's taxonomy places the organism in Eukaryota, Metazoa, Mollusca, Bivalvia, Ostreida, Ostreidae.
UCCGUCCGUCCGUCCGUUCGGGGUUUUCUCUUUAUAAUUUCAUUUCCCUUUCACAUAUCAUGCUGAAACUUGCUGUGUAGCUUCUUUGUGGGUCACUCUAGAUCAUACUGUAAUUUUGAUCCAUUUCGACCUUUUUUCCAGGAGUUUUGCCCCUUUAUUUGGAAAUAAUUAUUAUAUGGAGGGUACAUAAUUUGUCCGCCCUACUCCUCCCACAGUUUUCAAGUGAGAGCCUUCUUAUUAUGCCCCCUUCAAAGAAGAGGGGCAUAUUGGUUUGCACCUGUCGGUCGGUAGACCACAUGUUGUCCGCUCAAUAUCUUGAGAACCAUUCUCUUGAUGAUAAUGAUAUUUCAUAUGUGGGUUGGUUAUGAGUAGAAGAGGACCCCUAUUGUUUUUCAGGUCAAAAGGUCAAGGGUCAAUCUACUCUGGACAUAGGAAUAUAAUGUCCGCUCAAUAUCUUGAGAAUCAUUUUUUUGAAAAACAUCAAACUUAGCACACUGGUACAUCCUAAGGAGUAGAUGACCCCUAUUGAUUUUGGGGUCAUAUGGUCAAAGGUCAAGGGUCAAACUGGACAUUGGAAUAUACUGUCUGCUCAAUAUCUUGAGAACCCUUUGCUUGACAGACAUCAAAUUUGGUACACUGGUACAUCUUCAGGAGAAGAUGAUCCCUAUUGAUUUUGAGGUCACAUGUUUAAAGGUCAAGGGUCAACCUCGACAUUGGAAUAUACUGUCCGCUCAAUAUCUUAAGAACCCUUUGCUUGACAGACAUCAAACUUAGUACAGUGGUGAAUAUUCAGGAGGAGAUGACUCCUAUUGAUUUUGAGGUCACAUGGUCAAAGGUCAAACUGGACAUAGUAAUAUACUGUCCACUCAAUAUCUUGAUAACCCUUUUGCUUGACAGAUAUCAAACUUAGUACACUGGUACAUCUUCAGGAGAAGAUGACCCAUAUUGAUUUUGAGGUCAAAAGUCAAUUGUUGAACUGGACAUAGUAAUAUAUUGUCUCCUAUAUUUUAAGAAUUAUUUGCUUGAUUGACACCAAACUUGGUACACUGGUACAGCAUAAGGAGUAGAUGACCCCUAUUGAUUUUUAGGUCACAUGGUCAAUUCACUCUUGACAUAGGAAGAUAUUGUCUGCUCAAUAUUUUGAAUUGAUGAUACUACUAUCAAUUAAAUGAUGUGUGUGUAUAACCCUUUUCAAUUUUGCACCAUGGGGGACAUAUGUGUUUUACAAACAUCUCUUGUUUUGUGGAGUGUUUGUAUGGGUAUUGAAGAUGUGCAUGUGGGAUGGAUUUUGAUUUUCUACAAUUUUUGAGAAAAUUACAGGUUGUUGAACUUGGUCUAUUUGGAAAUUAAUAUUCUAUGGAGGGUACAUAAUUUGUCCGCCCAACUCCUCCCACAGUUUUUAAGUGAGGACCAUCUUAUUUUGUGGAGUGUUUGUAUGGGUAUUGAAGAUGUGCAUCUGGGGAAGGAUUUUGAUUUUCUUCCAUUUUUGAAAAAAUUACAGGUUGUUGAACUUGGUCCAUUUUGAGGAAAUCUAGAUUUUUAAGCUAAGACCCUUUGUUCAUAUGAAAGUUUGUCACAGCCUCAUGAUGGCUGAUAAUACCUGAAGCAAAGUUAUACAAAUUAUAGCACAAGAAAAACAGCCUAUGUAAGCAUUCCACGGGCGUAUUAUGUACCGUUUGCGGUACUCUUGUUAAGGAUAACUAUGGAAUAUACAGCUUGAUGUCCAUUAUUUGAAGUAUGAUUCCAUUAUAAGUAAUUAGACCCAACAAAUUAAUUGAUACCGCUAUCAGAAAUCCAAACAGUAUUAAAUAAAAUAUCAAAGACUUUUUAAAUCGAUGAAAAAAAUCAGAGAAAUAUAUGUAUGAAAUCAAAUUCAUUUAUUGAUGUAUAUGUUUGAUUAGAAAAUCAAAAUGGGGGUCUGAUAAAGUUCUAAAUGGGAAUCUAUAAAAAGUCAUAUCGACAGACUGUGAAAUUGUAGAACAUUCAGUGAAUGCCAAUACGUUACAAAAGGACGGACAAGGAAAUGUUUAUGUUCCUAGAAUAUUUUUUUUCCAUACCAAUACUUCCGUGUUACUCUAAUCAGAGAUGACCUGUAUUGAAGUGCUUCAAAAAUCAAAGUAUGCCCAUACCCUAUUUCCACGAAACAGUCUUUUGUAUUUCGUUGUGUCGAAAGUGUUUCCCUAUUCAAAACACUUUGGAAACAGGUCUACAUUUAAGUGGAACUAUACUCAAAUAGACAUACUCCUAAGUGGUUUAAAUGUUUGAUAAUCUUGAGGCCUCUUUGACAAUAUUUUUAGAAGGCAGUUGGAAAAAGACGAUGUAGCAUAUCCUUGGAUAAUUCUAACUCUUGACAAUAUGUAUAGAGGCAUGUAAUGCAUGUUGGAGCGGUUUACCAUGUUGCACGUUCUAAAAAUAGUACCUAUACCUGUAUGGUGUAACACAUAUCUUUACGAUGUUACAGAACCGGUACAAUGUUACACAGAACGUCAAAAAGUUUUAUUUUUUACCGGUUUAUCUUACACAAAACGUCAAAAUGUUUCAUUUACCGGUUUAUCUCACAGGCACCUGAAGUAUGGAUAUUACUACCCUCCCCCCUUUUUUUCAUAAUUUUUUUUUUGGUGGCAAUAAUUUCUCUGAAAUGUAUGAAUUCCCAGUCUAUCUCAUCCCUCUUUCGAUUCAUGUAAUCGUUUCACGCUUUUUGUAAGCUUUAAAGAUUGGCCUUCUACCGGUAUAAUAAAAUACACAAGGUAAGAAACAAAAAUUUGUAAACAAACAGGGGGUCCCCGUUUCCGGGCACAUUUUCCAAGUAAUUACAGCGUUACCUAAGGAAUUUUGACGAGCGGCAGGUCGGGGAGAUGUCAUACUACAAGUCUCUUCAACUCAAAACCCAUCUCGUCUCUUUUAUUUGACACAAUCUUGCGUGCAUUGAUCGGACAGGGCUUCAUCUCUUCCACUGGCAGCCAAAAAGGAGGUCACAGAGUACGAAUUUGUUGUACGCGCCGUGUGAUUGGUUCGCAAAGACAUUGCUUAGUCUCGGGAUCAUCCGAAGGGUCUCGGGAUUAUUCGCGGACCAAUCACACGACACGUUAUAAAUUCGUACUCUGUGACUUCCUUUUUGGCUGCCAGUGGAAGAGAUGAAGCCCUGUCCGAUCAAUGCACGCAAGAUUGUGUCAAAUAAAAGAGAUGAGAUGGGUUUUGAGUUGAAGAGACUUGUAGUAUGACAUCUCCCCGACCUGCCGCUCGUCAAAAUUCCUUAGGUGUAAAAUAAGAAGAACGGUAUGAAAUCAAUUUUCAAAUUGUCGAAAAUAUUCCUUUACCUACACCCUCUCGUUCCCUAUUCACAUCUUUGUUGCCUGAUUCCACGACUCUGCACGCCACUACCCGAAACCAGGUACAACUCGCUCAACUGAACACACCACGCUCAACACAUCAUGGUGAAGUACCACAAAUUUUGAACUAUAUUUAGCGCUUACAGUCAUACCGUGAAGAUUCUUUUAUGUGACAACGCCUGCCACAACACGGGACCUCCGUUUUUAAGAUCAUACCCGAAAGACCUGUAAUUUUCACUUCUAGAUCCUUAACGUUUGACGAAGGAGCAAUCACUACCAAUGUUAACGUCUUAUAUUUGAUGCGCUCAGGCACGAGCGGGACUCGAAUUCACGAUCCUCCGGUUACGAAACGAACUCUCUACCACUGAGGUACCGCAACCGGUACACAAGACGUCAAAAUAUACCGAUUUUUCGGUUUAUUUUACACAAGACUCAAAAUAUUUCAAGUCCGGGUUUAAUGUUCCAGAAGACGUCAAAAUGUUCCAAACACCGAUUAAUGUUACACUUAACGUCAAAAUGUUUCAAUUUCCGGCAUAUAUUAUACAAAACGUCAAAGUGUUUCAAUUUCCGGCUUAUAUUUUAAAAACGUCAAAAUGUUUGAACAGUUACCGGUUUCUAUUACACAAGGUGUUGAAUAUUCUUACCGAUCGCAGAAGCUCAAUGGUAGAACGUUCUCUUUGUGAUCUGGAGGUCGUGAGUUCGAAUCCCACUCGUGCCAUGGUCGCGUCAACAUAAGCAGUGAUUGUUCCUUCGCCAAACACUCCGUAUUUAGAAGUAAGAAUCACUCGAGUUUUACAAAUAUGACUUUGAAAACGGAGGUCCCGUGUCGCUGCAGAGGUCGAGGACGAGGACGUUAGGAGCCGGAUCAACAAAGCAAGGGUAGCGUUCAACACCCUACGACCCAUCUGGAACUCCAGACCCCUAUCCCAGCACAGCAAGGUCCGCAUCUUUAACACCAAUGUCAAAGCAGUCCUCCUCUAUGGAUCCGAGACAUGGCGAGUAACCAACACCAUCACCAACAAGAUACAGACAUUCGUUAACAAGUGAUUGCGCCACAUCCUCAACAUCAGGUGGCCGGAGAAGAUCUCGAACGUAGAACUAUGGAAAAGAACCAGCCAAAAUCCAAUAGGUCAGGACAUCAAGAAAAGAAAAUGGGGCUGGAUAGGACAUACGCUCCGCAAACCAACUGACAACGUCACAAGACAAGCACUAGAGUGGAACCCACAGGGAAAAAGGAAAGUAGGACGGCCCAAACAGUCCUGGAGAAGAUCCGUCGAGAGCGAAAUGAAGGAAGCCGGAAUGACGUGGACUCAGCUGAAGAGAGCAGCCCAUAACAGAGUCCGUUGGCGUGGUGUUGUUGCAGCCCUAUGCUCCACCGGGAGUCAACAGGAAUAAGUCAAUAUGGUGCAGCCUUGCCUUUAUAGUGUGACACUUGAUAUUAUUAGCAUUUUUAAGGUGUAUAUUAGCUGGGAUCAAUUUGUGUAAUAUACAUUGUUUAUUUGCUCAUUUGCAAACCUAGUACACAAUUAGUAAACGGUUGUUUGUAUUAAAUUGUCCCAGUCAAUUAAUUUUGUAUAUUUUGGUCUAUUACUUCAUUUUGUUUGAACUUGGUUUAUUAUGUCAUUUGUUUGAUCAUGAUAAUAAAUGACAUGUUCACUCAAAAUGUUGUGUUAUUUCAUUAGACACUUCAAUGAUUAUCCAGUAACAAAAACUGAGCUACAGAAUGCCAGAGUUUUUGUUCUUAUAUGAGUUUUUCUAUUUCAAAAUUGCAGAAUAUAAAAGAACUGUGAAUGAUAAUA